GGCGCCGCGCCGGUCAGAGGAGAGGCAUGGGGCGCCCGCGGGCCGGGGCCGGGGCCGGGGCCUAGGCGAGAGGACCUGCGAGCGGACCUGAGCGGCGGCGGCGGCGCAGCGCAGCGGUCGAGCGGGCCGGAGGCGGCCGGGGCGCCGGGCGCAGGCACCCGUGCCUCCCCACUGCCAGGGGCCUGGUGGCCGGAACCUGGUCACUCCAGGUACUGGAGGGCCCCGUCCCACGUUGCUUCCCGCCAGCACCUCUGACCAAGCGCCCGGAGGGAUGUGUGUGCCAGCCCUCGGUCCAGCACCCGCUCCCAAGGUGACGCCUGCUGCUUCCCGACUGGUUCCCAUUUCCCCUCCGCACGUAGCUCCGGGGUUGAUUAGCUGCUGCCCGGGAGAGGAGACCCGGGCAACGCGCUAGGGCGACGGCCCCUGCCCCGAGGGCCGGGAUCAUGAAAGGCCUCGGUGACAGCCGCCCCCGCCACCUGUCCGACAGCCUGGACCCACCACACGAGCCCCUGUUCGCAGGGCCUGAUCGAAACCCCUACCUGCUAUCGCCCACGGAGGCCUUCGCCCGCGAGGCUCGCUUCCCCGGGCAGAAUGCUCUGCCAGGGGACGGGCUUUUCCCGCUCAACAACCAGCUGCCACCACCGAGCAGCACCUUCCCCCGCAUCCACUACAACUCCCACUUCGAGGUGCCAGAGGAGAGCCCCUUCCCCAGCCACGCCCAGGCCACCAAGAUCAACCGGCUGCCCGCCAACCUCCUGGACCAGUUUGAGAAACAGCUGCCUAUCCACCGCGAUGGCUUCAGCACUCUCCAGUUCCCCCGCGGGGAGGCCAAGGCCCGGGGCGAGAGUCCUGGCCGCAUCCGCCACCUGGUCCACUCGGUCCAGCGGCUCUUCUUCACCAAGGCGCCCUCCCUGGAGGGCACGGCAGGCAAGGUCGGCGGCAAUGGCGGCAAGAAAGGUGGCCUGGAGGACGGCAAGGGCCGGAGGGCCAAGAGCAAGGAGCGGGCCAAGGCCGGGGAGCCCAAGCGGCGCAGCCGUUCCAACAUCUCGGGCUGGUGGAGCUCCGACGACAACUUGGAUGGUGAGGGUGGCACGUUCCGCAGCGGUGGCCCAGCCUCUGGACUGAUGACCCUAGGCCGCCAGACGGAGCGCAGCCAGCCACGCUAUUUCACACACGCCUACAACACCAUCAGUGGGCACAUGCUCAGAGCCGCCAAGAACAACACCGCCGAGCUGACCGCCCCGCCACCUCCGCCGGCACCCCCGGCCACCUGCCCCAGCCUUGGGGUGGCCGCGGACACCAACUAUGUCAAGCGGGGCUCCUGGUCCACCCUGACCCUCAGCCACGCCCAUGAGGUCUGCCAGAAGACCUCAGCCACCUUGGAUAAGAGCCUGCUAAAGUCCAAAUCCUGCCACCAAGGUCUUGCCUACCAUUACCUGCAGGUGCCCGGAGGCGGCGGCGAAUGGACCACCUCGCUGCUGUCCCCGCGCGAGGCGGACGCCACAGGCGAGGGCCCCAUCCCUUGCCGGCGAAUGCGCAGCGGCAGCUACAUCAAGGCCAUGGGCGACGAGGACAGUGACGAGUCCGGCGGCAGCCCCAAGCCCUCCCCCAAGACGGCGGCGCGGCGCCAGAGCUACCUGAGGGCCACGCAGCAGUCGCUGGGAGAGCAGAGCAAUCCCCGCAGGAGUCUGGACCACCUGGAUUCAGUGGAUAUGCUGCUGCCCUCCAAGUGUCCGAGCUGGGAGGAGGACUACCACCCCGUCAGCGACAGCCUCAACGACUCCAGUUGCAUCAGCCAGAUGUUUGGACAGGCCUCCCUGAUCCCCCAGUUGUUUGGCCACGAGCAGCAGGUACCAAGAUGGCCUGAGACAUGGGUCAGACAGACCCUUCCAGAACCAUUGGAGAGUGUAUGUAUGGUACGGGAGGCAGAUCUGAGCGACCAGUAUGAGGCAGCCUGCGAGUCGGCCUGCAGUGAAGCAGAGUCGACCGCGGCGGAGGCUCUAGACUUGCCGCUGCCCAGCUACUUCCGCUCCCGCAGCCACAGCUACCUGCGCGCCAUCCAGGCGGGCUGCUCGCAGGAAGAGGACAGUGUUUCCCUGCAGUCCCUUUCCCCCCCUCCCAGCACCGGCAGCCUCAGCAAUAGUCGCACGCUUCCGAGUUCAUCAUGCCUAGUGGCGUAUAAGAAGACCCCGCCACCGGUCCCUCCACGCACCACAUCGAAGCCGUUCAUCUCCGUCACGGUCCAGAGCAGCACUGAGUCUGCCCAGGACACCUACCUGGACAGCCAGGACCACAAGAGCGAAGUGACGAGCCAGUCCGGCCUGAGCAACUCGUCGGACAGCCUGGACAGCAGUACCCGACCGCCCAGUGUGACACGGGGCGGAGUCACCCCAGCCCCCGAGGUCCCUGAGCCACCCCCAAAACAUGCAGCUUUGAAGAGCGAACAAGGGACGCUGACCAGCUCCGAAUCCCACCCUGAGGCCAUUCCCAAAAGGAAACUGUCAUCUAUAGGAAUACAAGUUGACUGCAUUCAGCCAGUGCCAAAAGAGGAGCCCAGUCCCGCUACCAAAUUCCAGUCCAUCGGGGUUCAGGUAGAGGACGACUGGCGAAGCAGCGCCCCGUCUCACAGCAUGUCCUCCCGACGGGACACCGACUCGGAUACCCAGGAUGCCAACGACUCGAGCUGUAAGUCAUCUGAGAGGAGCCUCCCAGACUGCACCCCACACCCCGACUCCAUCAGCAUCGAUGCCGGCCCCCGGCAGACCCCCAGGAUUGCCCAGAUCAAGCGCAACCUCUCCUAUGGAGACGACAGCGACCCUGCCUUAGAGGCAUCCUCGCUGCCCCCGCCCGACCCCUGGCUGGAGACGUCCUCCAGCUCCCCUGCGGAGCCAGCACAGCCAGGUGCCUGCCGCCGGGACGGCUACUGGUUCUUGAAGCUGCUUCAGGCAGAAACGGAGCGGCUGGAAGGCUGGUGCUGCCAGAUGGACAAGGAGACCAAAGAGAACAGCCUCUCUGAAGAAGGACCACAAUUCUUCGUUGACACCACCAUGCUUUCUGAUCAAAUUGUGUACGUCCACCCAAGGCCCUGUGUGACUUAUGGCCACAAGUUUUAAUGUCACUGUUCUUACAUAUGUGGAAGAGCUUCACCAAGGAGGUACCUCAAGGAGACCAUGAUACCUUCAUAUCGUGCAGAAGCUUGGAGGAUAUUUACAGGCAGGGGGAGAGGACAGGGAUUCCAGAAGCAGGAAGGGCAGGGCAGGUCCAGGAAUCACAAGUGAAAAGGAAGGGGUGGGAAGAGGGGGAUGGUGGGUCACAAGAGUAGGAAGCUGACUGAGAAGGGCCUCAAAUAUCAGAUCAAAGGAUUGGGCAUUACCCUCCAGGCAGGAGAGAGCAGCUGGGGGAUCUGAAGCAACAGUGAGAUGGUCAGAUUUUCUUUUUAGAAAGAUCACCCUUGAUUGCUGUGUGGAAAAAGCUUUGGAAACAGGGAGACCAGGGUGGUGGGGUGGAAGAGGAGGGAAUGGAUAAACAAGAAAAUUUCUGAACGUUCUGAAUGGACCGGCUAAAGGGGCACAGGGUUGGAGUCAGGUGAAUCCCUCCAGCUUCCCUGGUUUGGGCCACAGGUGGAUGGAGAGGUCAUCAACUUGAAAGAGGGAGGCGGAGGCAGGGCGUGCUUGGCUGGAUAAGGAGGGGCUCUUGGGGAAGCAAGAUUACAGAGGUCAGGUUGUGCAGAUGUCUUUCUUGCUGUUGAAGGAGAUGCGGAUGAAAUGAACGCUUCAGCGUAGUCUGUGGGAACUCCUGUGGCCAGGGGGUUGAUCAGGAUUGUUCCAGAGUGAGUGGAGAAUCAGAGAGCCUUGAACGCUGGGCGGCCUGCCAUGAGCCAGCAUUCGGCAUUCAUCGUCUUGUUUACUCCCGGCUAUCCAGUGAGGUUGGAGCUAUUAGAAUCGUGUCUUGAAGAAGAAACACACAAAUGGAGGUGAAGUGCUCUGCCACUCGUCUGAGCCUGCUUCCCCCCAUUGUUCAGUGGCGGUAAUGACCCCACCCUCAGCCUGUGGUGGGGUAAGAUGAGACCCUGUGCAUGCGGAGUGCUUGGUGGCGAAUGGCAGCAGCCGUGCCUGCUGCAGCUGCCGUCACCAUCACCCUAAUUUGUGGAUAGACGCAGCCCAGGCCAGGAGCUGAAAAGGCCACACCUCUAGCCUCAGUGCUGGGAGAUGAGAGGUGAACGAGGGUAGACAUAGAGCUAGCAGCCUGAGGGAAGGGGCCUGCCAUCCCAUUUCCCCAGCUCUGGCGAGGAAGGAAACUAAGAGACCUUGGGCGAGUCACCUCAGUUCUCCAGGCCUCCACUUCCUCACCUGUGAAUUGGGUGGACCAGUACCAACCCCACAGGACUGUGUAUUAAUGUAAGAUUAGAAACACAAAGCCCUUGGCAAGAACCCAAGAGGUGGUAGCAUUUAUUACAGUUGUUGUCGUUAAUGUUGAUAUUAAUAUUACUAGAAACAGGCAUUGUAGCCUCCUCCACUUUCACCAGUGGGCAGUUCUGAGUGCAGGUCUCCUUUUUAGGACCUCCCCUAAAGAACUAGUUUGUGUGUAGAGGCGUAUACAAGGAUGUCUUUGCUGUAUUAUUUGUAAUAAAGCAGGCCCCUCACUGCCUAUCACUAAGUGUUCAGUUACCUUUGUUGCAUAAAAAGUGACCUCAAACUUAGUGACAUAAAACAACCAGCAUUUUAUUAUGGUUAUGGCUGUAACAGUAGGUCAGCAAUUCAGGAGGAGCAUGGCAAGAACAUCUCAUCUCUGCUCCAAGAUGUCUGGGGCCUCAGCUGGGAUGACUCAGGGCCUGAUAUCCGACGGAAGGAAUUACCUGAAGGUAGUUCACUCACAUUUCUGGUGCCUAGACCAGAGUGACCUAAAGACCAGGACUGCUUGCCGGAGACCCUGUGUACGUCUUCUCCACGGGACUUUGCUUCCUCACAGGCAGCCUCGGGGCAGUCAGACUUCUUACCUGUUGGCUCCGGGCUCCAGGCUAACAAGGCUGCCUUGCCUUUGAUGACCUCGCCUCAGAACUCACCUGGGAUCUCUACCGCUGUAUUUUACUGGCGACAAGAAGUCACAAGCCCACCCAGGUUCAAGGACGGGGAGAAUUAGACCCCGCCUCUUGAUAGGGGAGUGUCAGGGUUCUAGAAGAACUCGAGAGACAGGAGACACUGCUGGGGUCAUCUUUGGAAAAUACAGUCUGCCACAAUACAGAACCAGUUCAAUCUAAUACGCGGCAGUUACAAAGAGCGCUUUUACUACUGAACAGUAUGUUGUGAAGUUCUGUCUAGUUUGACGCAUACAGAUCUGCUUCAGUUUGGUUAAAUUCUGUGACGUGUUCAGUGAGAUACAUGAAAUACUGCAUUUUCUUUGCCCACGUUCCUGACGAUGGAUGUUUAGGUGUUUUCAGGGUUUUAUCAGCAUCUUGGCACAUGUCUUUCUUGGCAUCAUAUGUGAGAGAAUCUCUCUAGGAUACUUACCUUCCUUGGACAGAAUUGCUGGAUGGAUGGAAACACAUUUUAUAUUUUAAUCAGUUCUGCCUGAUCGCUCUCCAAAGGUUAUACCAGUGUAUCCUUACACCAACAGUGUUGGAAAAUUUCCAUUUCUCUUGUAUCCUCACUGAUGCUUGAUCCUGUCAGACUCUAAAUUAAUUAUUUGUCUUAGGGAAGGUCCUCAGUGCUGUGGGCAGUGCCCAGCUACUGAUGUCACAGAAAUUCCAGCAGUUCCGGGGCCUCUGUGAGCAAAACUUGAACCCUGAUGCCAACCCAC
Delphinapterus leucas (beluga whale) is the source of this 5796-nucleotide non-coding RNA. The record is from RefSeq and is a predicted model, not a curated record. NCBI's taxonomy places the organism in Eukaryota, Metazoa, Chordata, Mammalia, Artiodactyla, Monodontidae.